This 251-nucleotide ribosomal RNA is filed under the name uncultured bacterium. RNAcentral describes it as "partial 16S ribosomal RNA". It matches the Rfam family "Bacterial small subunit ribosomal RNA", at positions 524 to 773 of the family's 1533-position model. The record is from RNAcentral.
UACGUAGGGAGCAAGCGUUGUCCGGAAUCAUUGGGCGUAAAGCGCGCGUAGGUGGCUUCGUAAGUCCGUUGUGAAAGUCAAAGGCUCAACCUUUGAAAGCCGAUGGAUACUGCGGAGCUAGAGUACGGAAGAGGCGAGUGGAAUUCCUGGUGUAGCGGUGGAAUGCGCAGAUAUCAGGAGGAACACCAGUGGCGAAGGCGGUUACCUGGAGCUUUGCUGACGCUGGAUGCGCGAAAGCGUGGGGAGCGAUC